CCGUCAGGUUUUCUGCAGUGAGCAGAGCUCUGGACCCAGGCAUGUGACUUUCUUUGGCCAACUGAAUGUGGCAGAAGUAACAGAGUGACGGCUCCUGGCUAAAUAUCCUGAAGAAGAAAUUACCUGUUGGUGGCUCCAGUGUACCAGUGGAAAGGUUUAAGAGCGGCUUGGUUAAGCACAGCAUGCUGUCUCUCUAGGCUUUUUCGAAGUCCGAUGGAGUGCAUAACCUGAGCGCGGUGAGCUGUAAGGGAGAGGCCUAAAGCCCAGGCUCGGGGAGAAGCCCACGCUGCCCAGCCCUGUAUCUCCUGGCACCCAUUUCUCGAUGUCCUACCGCAACACACAGCCGCGUAAGAGGUG
This 357-nucleotide long non-coding RNA is filed under the name Heterocephalus glaber (naked mole-rat). RNAcentral's name for it is "lncRNA (ENSHGLG00100047708.1)". Lineage: Eukaryota; Metazoa; Chordata; Mammalia; Rodentia; Bathyergidae. The record is from RNAcentral.